ACUUAAAAAAUCUAUAAAAGCAACUCGCGUCGUUUAAUUUUUCUCUUAUUUAAUAAAUAUAUUCAAAGCCGUCACGUAAGAAAAUGAUUACACCAAAGCAAAGCCAAAUUAGUGGUUUAUAUUUUAAAGUGAAGAAAAGUUGAUAAACUACACUGAUGCAGCCGGAAUUAAACGAUUUAAAAAGAUGUGAAAAACCACGUGGCGACAGAGGGCAAGCCGGCGUUGACAUGCUUAGCUUUUUACACAAAAAAAGGCGGCAUUUUGAGGAACCUGCUUGGAAAAUGUGAAGUUAGAUCUGCAUUGUUAAAAGUAGGCCCCUUUUUGAGAAACAACCCUGGAAAAAUGUGAAAUUACAAACAUUUUCGGCUUCUGGAAGCCUUGUUGCACUGGAAUUAUAUCUGUCAUAUGGUUCUCCUCUUAUGGAAGGGAAAUCAUUUGGAAAACCAGCAAUGCCACAUAAGGUUAUGAAAUAUGAUUUUAAUGAGGCACUUAAAGGGUUCUUAAGUUCAGGCAUGAUCUGUGAACUCAUGAACUCUUCCAUCACCCAUUCUAAUCACUUUUUGAAGAUGGUAUAAUGCUGCGGGUACUCCAAAUGAUAUUGCUGUCUAAACGAAAAGAUAUUCCCAUAAAUAAUAUUUGAAAUCUGGAAAUCUUGGAAAAAGUAGCUGUUAUGGAAAUCACCACAAGCUCGUAUUUUGAAAGUCUUUCAAUGCUAAUCAACCUUAAUAUAUAUUUAAAAGCUUGUGAACAUUAUUUUGGGAGCUGAUUAAUUCUGAUGAAUCUAAUACAAAGAUUGUCUUCGCAAAUCUAUAUGUUCUUUGAUAGUUUCACCGAGCUUAGGAUUAAAAAUCUGCCAAGGUAAAUAAUCUACCUCCCGUUUCUUUUUUAUUUAUUUGAAAUGAGGAAAAUUCGUCCGUACACAUUUAACUGAGAUAAACCCUGCUGUUUGACGAUUCCCCACCUGAUCAAAUCAUUUCAAAUAUUUAAUUUGUUACAAAUGUUUAAGAAUAUUUAACUCAUUCGUUUUUUUUUAUUUUUUUUGCAGGUUGUGGCGUAAUUAUUUACUUUUU
Non-coding RNA from Drosophila kikkawai, 1070 nucleotides. The record is from RefSeq and is a predicted model, not a curated record. Lineage: Eukaryota; Metazoa; Arthropoda; Insecta; Diptera; Drosophilidae.